This 504-nucleotide ribosomal RNA is filed under the name Triticum aestivum (bread wheat). Its description in RNAcentral is "partial small subunit ribosomal RNA". The record is from RNAcentral. Lineage: Eukaryota; Viridiplantae; Streptophyta; Magnoliopsida; Poales; Poaceae.
AUGGCGCCUCGUCGCCGAGUAGAAGGAGACCCACCACCCGUGUAUGACGAAAUUGACUACUUAUCAAACUUCAGUCUUUGCAUCAAUUUUGGUGGUUAUUUCCUUGGAGUUGGUAAAAAUCGUGCAUAUGUCAAUGGAGAAAACAUGUGGUAUGAUUAUGUUGAGGGGGAUACACUUACUGUGGAGAAGUUAGAAGAUCUGGUAGAAGAAUUAGGCUAUGAAGUGAAGGGAAGAUUGCAAAUGUAUUACUGCAUGCCUGGUAAACCAAUGACUGAAGGUGGUCUUGUGAAGAUAACUUGCAAUGACAACUAUAUUAACAUGAGGGCACAUGUAACAUUUGGGCACAAGUUUUUGCAAAUGUAUCUUGAUCAUGAUGAGAGCUUCAGGCAGUUUGACUGGGAUGAUGUGAUAGAGUUUCCUGUAGCAGACCUGCCUACUGUUGUUAGUCCUAUCAAACCAAUUCAGAUCAUUAAGGAGGAAGCACUAGAGAAAGGCCAAGAAUAG